GAAUAAAACAAGUGAAGAAAGGUACCUCUUAAUUGUUUUUCUUUGAACAUGGGUAUGCUUUGGAAUCCAUAGUCGUAAAUAAUGUUCUAACUUGCUUUUUGUGUCCAUAUUUAUUCACAUGUUUAGUUCUUUGUUUAUCAUGAAAAUGUCUAUUAAUGAAACUGUGCAGUUAUUAUUGCCAGUCUUAUUAUCGAUCUGUUAUUGAAAGUCUAUAGUGGGGCAGAGAUCGUGGUUCGACCCACCAACGAAGAGUUGGUGCACAACCUCCCUUUUCUCGUCAUCAUUAUCUCCCACGUUGAUCUCGAAAUGUUUGAUCCGUAAGAUCUCCCAGCCAUGCUAUAUUUGGAGACGGAGGGAAAGGCCGAACCGGGCGGCAAAAUCUGGCCUCUGGAAGGCGACGGGGACAGACAUGGCCGAUGGCGGAACACAGAGAGAGGGGUGAAAAGCCUUUGUUUUCUUCGUAGGAAAGCAACAAAAGGGAAUAAAAUGAAGUGGAUCAUGAAUGACAACAAGCCCAGCUGCAAGCUUCCAGGUUCUGAUUUCGUCACCAAGAAAGGCUCUAUCACGCUAGACGACUGGGUCCUACAACGUAUAUACAAGAACAACCACAGCAACGGCCGUUGAAUCAAGAUGGCGACUGCAUAUAGACGACCUUCCAAUUGUAAAGUACAAAUGAAAUCCAAUCCGACCUUUACCAAAAUAUAAGAAAUAUUUUCCAUGUCUUUGAACUAUUCCUAUGUUUAAUAUGUAUAGAUUGUUAUGUUGCAAGAAAUUUCCUCCCUUUGCGUUGAUGAGAGUGGGUGUACCCCACUCCCAUUCACUAUUCCACGGGUAUAGUAUAAGUGAAUUGGAUAAAAAAUGUGUAGAAGAAUAGAAAUAGUUGAAUUGUGGCUGCAGAUUAUAGUGAAAUUAGAGCAAAGGAAUUAAGCGGAUGAGUUUAGCCGUAAAAAAAAAAUGGAUUGGGAACAUGUGUUGUCAAUCCUAAGAGGAGGAGAGGGAUGUCUUGACCUCUAUUCUUCAGUGUCUGAAUUCAAACAGCAUUUGAACGAAGACGAGGCCGCUUUGAUACAUGAUAAGCGACAUUUUGGAUAUGUAUUUUGGAGGGCAAAAUAGCAACAACAAAUCAUUACUCUGCUCAUGCGCAUAGCAUCCGACUGUUGGUUUUGGGGUUGUUAUAUGGUGCAGUUUUGGGGAGUAGUGAAAGUAGAGGGGAACCAUCACCACCUCUCUACCUCACACCAUCCUUUUCUUGUUGGCGCACUCAGCAAGGGGCUGUGUUGGUACAGGAAGCAAAGUAGGGAUCAUGUGUAUGUUGUGGACGACGUCGUAGCAGCGGAUGAUCAAGAGCUUCUUGGAGGCGUAGGACGGGUGUUCCCGAACAAGCACCCUGAAUAAUCCUCACCAGACUUGAGGCUCUACUCUACCAAUGAGUAUCCAAUGCGCGAUGAAGCCGUACGUUGCGGUCAAAGAGCUUACUUGGCACUCCCUCUAUUUGAUUCCAACACAAAUCAAUUCUAUGGUGUGUUGGAGCUCUUGUAUCCUGAUAUUAGAGAGAUCAGGAGAUAUCUACUUUCUAUAUUGGGUGGAGAACUGCAGGUUUGUCUCAUACAGUAUAACAAACAUAAAUAGAGCAUAUACACCUGAUCAAGUACUGUGUUUUUACUCCAUAAGAUCAUGUCCUUAACUUUAUUCAUACUAAACACAUAUCAUCACAUUCAGAUUGCAGGGUUGAGGUCCACUCACAAUUUCACAAAAAACUUGGUAACCUUGUCAUUAUAUCAUUUAUAAACUUGAUACUCAUGUGUGAAUGAAUUAUAAACCAUGCUUCUUCUUUUCUUGCUUUUGUCCCCUAAUAUAAGCAGCAGCAACCUGAGAGUGAAAUCACAAAGAUACUUGAAUUAGCUAUGGCGACAGUCCCAAGACUAUCUCUGGCACAAG
Molecule: long non-coding RNA, 1938 nt
Organism: Salvia miltiorrhiza (redroot sage)
Lineage: Eukaryota; Viridiplantae; Streptophyta; Magnoliopsida; Lamiales; Lamiaceae
Exons: 3
Source: RefSeq, a predicted model, not a curated record